This is a long non-coding RNA of Hemiscyllium ocellatum (epaulette shark), 4013 nucleotides long. RefSeq lists it as uncharacterized. NCBI's taxonomy places the organism in Eukaryota, Metazoa, Chordata, Chondrichthyes, Orectolobiformes, Hemiscylliidae. The record is from RefSeq and is a predicted model, not a curated record. The transcript has 7 exons.
ACCGGGACCCGCGUGACGGCCGUUGGUUAGUCUUCCCUGGGAUUUCGGCUGGACUGGACGCAGAGAGCUUGUUUAAAACAAAAAUCCGUCCCGUGACGGUAUUAAAAUCAAAAACACUGUUAAUGUUCGGAUAUAGACUGUGGGGGAGGGAACACCAACCAGCUUAUGUUCCCCGGGCAGGGACGGACGGACUGAUGGAGGCAGGGAGGGCAGAAAUGCCCCACAGACACACAAUCAGAACUUAGUGGAAAAGCCCAGCGGAUCUGGCGGAGUUCACGUUUUAGGUGGAGAGAUUCUUCCUCAGAAGUGGAGGUGGUUACUGCAGAUGCUGAGGGUUAGAGUGGUGCCGAGGAGCGUGGGACAUUCUGAUGAAGGCCUUUUGUCCGAAAUGUUUAUUUUCAUGCCAGGCGGACGCUGUCUGAGCUGCUGUUGCGUUUCCAGCACCAACUCUGAUCCUUCCUCAAAGGUACCUUUGGCCCAACCCCUCUGUGCUGAUCGGACUCCGGAUUGGCCGGAACCACGGCGAUUGACAGGUUACUUGACCAUUCGGAUCCCGAGAUAGUGCUAACCCCCGCCCUGAGGGAUCCUGCGCAGGCUCGAGGCGCUGCUGUUGAUCUGAGUCUGCGCGGAGGCGGGGCGUCUGGCUUCCAGGAAGUGCACACGCGUGGUGUUUAAACCCGGAACUGGGAAUGUCUUCUGCGUGGUUUCGGCUGAGCGGACUGAGUAUUAUCAUCCUUCCAAUGAGGGUGAAGGUAUUCAGCAGAAACACAAGGAAAUACUCCAGGUACAAACUGAAAAGCUGUGUGAUCACUAUCCGAAGAAACAAGUUUCCAGCUGGUUGAUCGAUAUGCUGAGUUAAUGCUAAUCGCUAAUGUACGAAAUUGGACAUUUAGAGAAGAUGAACAUCUGGUAAGAGGCUGAGUCCGUGAAGAGUGUAGAGAGAAACAUCCCUGGAGAGAACUGGACAAAACACAAACUGAUCAGUUGUCCAAGAGCAGGUUUUUUUUUCUCCCCAGAGAACUUCCACAUCUGGGAGUGUGGUAGCAGUGAUUGGGGACCCAGGGACUGGAAAAACAACAAUGGUAGAAAAGACUGAUUGGGCCACUGGGAAAAUAUACCCAGAAUUUUUAUCUGUUUUCCGUUUUAAAUUUCGGGAUUUGUAUGCUAUUCACUCAGGAAUGCUGGAGCAGUAUCCUUAUUUUGGGAAUGAUAUGGGAGAGGUCUGGAAGAACCCAGAGGGAUUGCUCUUUAUAUUUGAUGGUUUGUAAGAAAUCAAAUACAGUAUCGAUUUUUCUGAUGGUCUUAAAAGUAGACCCUCAGUUCAUGUGCACUGAUUCUGAAUGCUGGUGUGACAGUGUCUGACAUUGUGUACACUCUAAUCCAGCAUAAGCUGCUCCCGGGAUGUUCAGUGCUCGUGGCCAGCUGUCCCAUUUAAUGGAAAUAGCUGAGAUCAUGUCUGGGCUGAAAUCCUGCGAUUUGUUGGUGAUGAGCGGAAUGAAUAUUUCAACAGGCUUUUUGAAGAUCAGAUGAUGGCAGCCGCUGUUUUCAAACAAGUGAAGGGGAACAAGAUCCUAUGUACCAUGGUCUACAACGUUUUGUACUACUGGAUCCUCGAUCUGUUACUGAGUCCCUUUUUCACAUAACAAGACAGGAAGCUGCAGCAACUUCCCAAGAUUAUCACCCAACUAUAUUUUUACUAUAGUUACAACGUUGUGAAAAACCAUGGCUGAGAGAUUGAAGACCCCUGUGUUGUGUAACUGAAGCUUGGUGAGAUGGCUUUCACAGGAUUCUGAAGAGGAAGGUUGUGUUCAGGAAUGUAAUUCUUGUCUGUUUUCCUAAUGGAACUAUUGGAGAGAGAUGAUUCUGUGCACUGGGUGGUUAACACAUUCCCACACCUCGCCAGCCAAGAGUUUGUCGCUGCCUUUGCCCCAGAUCCCAGGGACAUUUGAAGCUCUGCAGUGAAGCCCAUAGCAAGGAAAACGAGCUUGAUGGAUUGAGGCUGGCUCCUGGUGGAUAGUGGAAUGUCAGUGAAUUCUAUGACACAAUUAACCACCUCAACGUGCAAGACAAUUCUGAAGGAUUCCAAUAUCUGGCUCCUGAAUGCCAAGUAUUGAGCGUAUCAACAAAGAUGUCCAAGGGAUGCUAGACGUCUCACUUCUGGAGAAGCCAGGCUUAAACGACACUCCUAGAAAUACCAAAUAACAUCCAGGAAUGGAAACGUUUGAGCAGUUGGCUCUCCAUUGAUUAUUGCUUUGCAGAAAAUCCAAGUAUUUAAUAAAUGACAAAAGAGUCUCCAGAGUAAUGACCCAGAAGAUUCAGAAAUAAAAUUACAUCUGUGGUUGAGAGGAAACCGAACUGCAGAAUACAGGGACUGGACAUUAAUGGUGUCCGUGACAGAUUCUGGGACCUAGGACCUCAUCUCUGCUCUCACGGCACACUGAUCAGUGAUGGACCUGGCCCAAAGUGAUGAUAAAUUGGGUCAUUUCUGUAGCUCUGGGGAUUCCAAACUGUAAAAUAUAGAUUCUGAGGGUAUGUGCUGCUGCCUUCUCAGAGCUUUGUGCUGAGAAACUUGCCCUUGCUUUCAGUACAAACCAGUCACUGAUGGAGUUGUCCAUCUCAUUAAACAUCUUCACCAACAAUUCUGUCCCCUCAUUUUUGCAUGGUGUACAAACUGCACAGUCUGCAAUGGAUCAAAUUGUGAGGAAAUGGAGUUCACUCCAAAUGGGAAGUCGCUCCGAUCCAGACCGAGAGGGACUGUGUGAAUCUUGGAAGUUAUAGCAUCACUACUGUUGUUAUUUGAAUAUUUGUCGCUGAUUCUGCACCCCACCCCCCCCCCCUUCCUUCAACCGGCUGUGUUCAAGGUUGAAAUUCUAUUGACGAUUUCCCAGUCUCCACUUGAGCUAAGGUCAUCUCUCAUUGUGAGGUCAGAGGGCCCAGUCAUAGAGUCAUUAGACUCAGGGACUCAGCACUCAGUGUGGCUUCUACAGGAUAUCUUUGCCUCAUUGUGACCUGCUGGGGACAUACAUUGGCAUCAAGGAGCCAGAGUUGGACUCUGUCUGGGCUGCAAUGGAACAGUGACAGUUACACUCAAUAUUCGUGUGUCUGUGGGGUAGAUUACUCCAGGUUCCUGCUCAGUACCUUACGCAGUAAGGAAGGUUUAGAUUACUUACAGUAGUGGAAACAGGCCCUUCGGCCCAACAAGUCCACACCGACCCUCCGAAGAGCAACCCACCCAGACCUAUUCCCCAACAUUUAACCCUUCACCUAAUACUACAGGCAAUUUAGCAUGGCCAAUUCACCUAACCUGCACAUUUUUGGACUGUGGGAGGAAAUCGGAGCACCCGGAGGAAACCCAUGCAGACACUGGGAGAACGUGCAAACUCCACACAGACAGUUCCCUGAGGUGGGAAUUGAACCCGGGUCUAUGGCGCUAUGAGGCAGUAGUGCAAACCACUGUGCCGCCAUGUGAAUCUGUGUCAGAGUGAAAGGGGACUGUGCCUCUCACUUGAGAUGGACUCCCCUUCCAAUAACAUCCACUCUCUGGAUUCACUCAGAGUGACAGCUUUGUUUUGGAUAUUCCUCGAAUUGGACUUCACAAUCAAGCAGCUCCAGAGAGAGAGAAAACUAAAGGAUAAGCUUGAGCAUGGAACAUUGAGCACAAAACCUCAGCUUCCUGGGUAACUGCAGGAGUAAAUUCUCAGAGUGACAGAACGUUCCUAUACUUUGUUAGGAUGAUCUCCUCACUCUGUUGCAUUAUGUUGAAGUAUUUGCAGUAUUGCUUUUUCUUUUGAAGAGAAUAUUCCAUCAGUGAUAGUAUAGUGUCUGGAAAUGGCAGAAUCCAAGCAUGAAUGAGAACCAGAUAUUAAAACAAAACAUUCUGAUCACGCAUUUUGUCAAAAGAUGUGUGGUCUUAAUACAGGAACCGGUUGUAAAAGACAACAUGCCAGUGACAAUCAGACAACCGUGCAGAAUAAAAACUAAGAACUGUGGAUGCUGUAAAUAAGAAACAAAAA